This 579-nucleotide ribosomal RNA is filed under the name Triticum aestivum (bread wheat). Its description in RNAcentral is "partial small subunit ribosomal RNA". Lineage: Eukaryota; Viridiplantae; Streptophyta; Magnoliopsida; Poales; Poaceae. The record is from RNAcentral.
AUGAGUUUCAUCAAUCGCUACCUGCAGGACCUGGAGAUCACCGCUGCUUCUUUACCGAAAGCUAACGCAGGAGCGCUUCCGCGCCGGGUGCGUCGGGGGUGGCUUCCACCGGCAGAAACAGAAGUGAAGAUAAAUUUGGAUGGAGGUUUAUCUCGCGGUGGAAACAGAGGUGCAGCAGCAGCUAUUUGCAGAGACUGCAAUGGAACCUUCCUUGGAGCAUCAGCUGUUGUGUUCGAUGGAAUCUUUGAUCCAGCCAGUUUGGAAGCGUGGGCAUGCAAUGAGGCUUUGGCCUUGGGCCAGGACUUGCAUGUUCAGCGACUUCUAAUCGCCUCUGAUUGUGCCGAAGUAAUCACCAAUAUGAGCCGAGACACAGCUGCAGUUUAUGCGCCAAUUCUGCAUGAGAUAGUUAUUCGCAGAAGGAAUUUUGAGCAGGUUGUCUUUCGUCAUGAACCGAGGGAAUGUAUUAGUGAGGCUCAUAGAUUAGCUAAGGCCGCGUCGACUCUUGACGUGGGCCGCCAUGUGUGGCUAGGGACUGUCCCGGACAUUAUUUGUAUUCCAAACUCUUUGAACUUUGAAUAA